GCCUUAUCGAGAGUAACUGAGGGACAGGCCCUAUGAAGUUGCAGCAACCUGCUUAAGUAAGGUGCUAAAACCUGCGGUACAACCGAGUGAUGAGAA
Clostridiales bacterium 41_12_two_minus is the source of this 96-nucleotide non-coding RNA. The record is from Rfam. Lineage: Bacteria; Bacillati; Bacillota; Clostridia; Eubacteriales.